This 396-nucleotide unclassified non-coding RNA is filed under the name soil metagenome. Its description in RNAcentral is "partial contains 5.8S ribosomal RNA, internal transcribed spacer 2, and large subunit ribosomal RNA". The stretch from base 1 to 120 matches the Rfam family "5.8S ribosomal RNA", at positions 35 to 154 of the family's 154-position model. The record is from RNAcentral.
GAUGAAGAACGUAGUGAAACGCGAUAAGUAAUGUGAAUUGCAGAAUUUAGUGAAUCAUCGAACUUUUGAACGCACAUUGCGCCCGGCGGCACUCCGCCGGGCAUGCCUGUCCGAGCGUCAUUUAUCGGCCCUCGACUCUUUCCUCUCUCUCUGGGGUGGAAAGAGUCGGUGUUGGGAGCCCUUUCUGUGCAAGUUCUCUUGCGCAGCUCCCCAAGUCCACUGGCGUCGCACGCCUGGGUAUCCCCCCGCGUAGUAGUUAAAUCACCUCGCCCGGGACCCUGCGAGCGCCGGCCACAAACAACCACAGCGCUCCAGCUUCUUUGCUCGCGCUCGAAUAGUUGACCUCGGAUCAGGUAGGGUUACCCGCUGAACUUAAGCAUAUCAAUAAGCGGAGGA